Non-coding RNA from Salvelinus sp. IW2-2015, 741 nucleotides. The record is from RefSeq and is a predicted model, not a curated record. NCBI's taxonomy places the organism in Eukaryota, Metazoa, Chordata, Actinopteri, Salmoniformes, Salmonidae.
UGUUACCUAACUAAUUCUGAUUCAGCUACGACACUAUAUGAACAGCUUUAUAACAGGUUGUAUUACCUAUAUGAACAGGUUUAUAACAGGUUGUAUUGACUAUAUGAACAGGUUUAUAACAGGUUGUAUUGACUAUAUGAACAGGGUUUAUAACAGGUUGUAUUGACUAUAUGAACAGGUUUAUAACAGGUUGUUAUUACCUAUAUGAACAGGUUUUAUAACAGGUUGUAUUACCUAUAUGAACAGGUUUAUAACAGGUUGUAUUGACUAUAUGAACAGCUUUAUUAUAUGCAUAUCCUAGCUUCUGGGCCUGAGUAGCAGGCAGUUUACUUUGUUCACACUUUACACCGAACGGGGAAAUCGCGCCCCCAAGCCUAGAGAAGUUGUUUUUAGUUUAUAGUAGGUUUGUAUUUACUCCAUGAACGGUUUAUAACAGGUUGUAUUGACUAUAUGAACAGGUUUAUAAACAGGUUGUAUUGACUAUAUAAAACAUGUUUAUUAACAUUUGUAUUGCCUAUAUGAAAAGGUUUGUAACAGUUUAAAUUUCCUAUAUAAACAGGUUUGUAACAGUUUGUAUUGACUAUAUAAACAGGUUUAUAACAGUUUGUAUUGCCUAAAUAUACAGGUUUGUAACAGAUGCAUAACAGGUUUAAUAGCAGGUUUGUAUUGACUAUAUAAACAUGUUUAUAUCAGGUUUGUAUUGCUUAUAUGAACAGGUUUAAAAGAGGUUCAUAAUAAGUG